RNAcentral lists this ribosomal RNA (774 nucleotides) under uncultured Neocallimastigales. Its description in RNAcentral is "partial large subunit ribosomal RNA". It matches the Rfam family "Eukaryotic large subunit ribosomal RNA", at positions 24 to 640 of the family's 3401-position model. Lineage: Eukaryota; Fungi; Neocallimastigomycota; Neocallimastigomycetes; Neocallimastigales. The record is from RNAcentral.
GUAGUCUCGCACAGAUGCAUAUCAAUAAGCGGAGGAAAAGAAACUAACAAGGAUUCCCCUAGUAACGGCGAGUGAAGCGGGAAGAGCUCAAAUUUGAAAUCUUAAAGGGUUUCCCUUUACGAAUUGUAGUUUAAAGAAGUGUUUUCUGUUGAGGUUUUGGUAAAAGUUCUUUGGAAUAGGACAUCAUAGAGGGUGAGAAUCCCGUAUUUGACCUUUACUUUCAACUUUGUGAUACACUUUCAAAGAGUCGGAUUGUUUGGGAAUGCAGUCCAAAAUGGGUGGUAAAUUUCAUCUAAAGCUAAAUAUUGGCGAGAGACCGAUAGCGAACAAGUACCGUGAGGGAAAGAUGAAAAGAACUUUGAAAAGAGAGUUAAACAGUACGUGAAAUUGUCAAAAGGGAAGCGUUUGACACCAGUGUUGUUUUUCUGAAAAUCAAUUAAAGAACUGUUUAUGCUAAGUUGUUUAGACUUUAUCAGCUAUCUGUUUAGUUUUGAGCUUUUCUUUAAUGCACUUUUCAGUUAACAAGUCAACAUCAAUUUCUUUUGCUGUAAAAAAGCUUGAGGAAGGUGGCUUGAGAUUCGUCUUAAGCGUUUAUAGCCUCUUGCCUAUGCAGUCGGAGAGAUUGAGGUCUGCAGCGUAGAUCCUUCGGGGCUAAAUGCAUUUGCUGCUAAGUUAUAGCAUUUCAUAGACAACUUGUUGACUAUGAUUUGUCUUGUAGCUUACUCGCUUAUGUUAUUUUACCUACGCUUAGGAUGUUGACGCGCGUGUGUGCGU